GUUAAAUGCCUUGAAGCUUGGAAAUAGAGAAACUUAUUAGAUAGAUUGUUUGGGUAGAAUGGUAGUAGUGAUUUUGGGCAACGUUCGAUGGUGAAACGAUGAGGCAAAAGGAAUUGUAUGUGUUGGGUGGAAUGAUGAUGUUAGUUCAAAAAGUUGUUAGUAUCUUUGUCCCGCUAGCCUUUCUUAUAUAGCCGUUAGUGAUGGUUAAUUCAAAAAGCAGUUACGAGUUCACCGCCCAUUUUAUGCUCCCCCGGGGUCUGAUUCUAAAGUCGAGUAAUUGGAGGGACGAGAGGGAAAAAUAGGCGAACUUUGUUGUUUUUCUUCGAUUUUGCCAAGUCCAAGCUGUUUUGAAAAUGGCCAAGAGGGAAAACUAAUAAGGCUUCUCAGUAUCAAGCGAAGAAUUGAAUUGGGCUUUGGGAAUUUGGCCUCGUUUCUCCUUGACUAGGGGUGUAAGAGUUGAGUAGUCGCUUCAUGCCUGGGUGUUUUUUCAUUAGCAGGAGCGUGCUCGCGCUCGCGGGUCAGGUAGCGUGUUGUACUGGAGGAUUUAUCCGCAAAAGUUGAGACACGUGAGAUGGGCCUCAUUUUUUAAGUAAUAAUUAUGAGACUUCACAGACAUUGGGUUCCUGCCACUGGGAGAGCUGUACAAGUGUUGUUCUGAAAGGUCUUUUUGCAUUUAUAGAAUUAUAAUUCAUAUUGCCUUUUAGAAGAGAAAUGUUUAAGAAUAAUGAUCAUGAAUUAAUCUUUUAAGGUAAUUUAAAAAAAAUUAGGUUAAAAACUUAAAAGAAUUCUCAAUUCUCUCAAUUGCA
Molecule: unclassified non-coding RNA, 806 nt
Filed under: Hevea brasiliensis (rubber tree)
Lineage: Eukaryota; Viridiplantae; Streptophyta; Magnoliopsida; Malpighiales; Euphorbiaceae
Source: RNAcentral